RNAcentral lists this unclassified non-coding RNA (159 nucleotides) under uncultured Ascomycota. Its description in RNAcentral is "sequence contains ITS1". The record is from RNAcentral. Lineage: Eukaryota; Fungi; Ascomycota.
UUGUAGGGGGCCGCAAGGCCCCUCGCAUGACCGCAACCCUUGCCUUUUCGAAUCCGUCCGUUUCCUCGGCAGCUUUGCGUGAGCUCUGCCUGCCAGCGAGGACCCCCGAUAAACCUUCUUGCAAUCCUAGUACAAAUCUCAGAACAAAACAAACCUUUA